AAUUAUGGACAAUGGGCGCAAGCCUGAUCCAGCCAUGCCGCGUGAGUGAAGAAGGCCUUCGGGUUGUAAAGCCCUUUCGGACGGAAAGAAACCGCGCAGGCUAAUAUCUUGCGCGGAUGACGGUACCCGCAUAAGAAGAAACGGCUAACUACGUGCCAGCAGGCGCGGUAAUACGUAGGGUGCGCGCGUUAAUCGGAAUUACUGAGCGGAAAGCGGGCGCAGGCGGUUAAUUAAGACAGGCGUGAAAUCCCGGGCUUAACCUGGGAACUGCGCUUGUGACUGGUCAGCUAGAGUACGGCAGAGGGGGGUGGAAUUCCACGUGUAGCAGUGAAAUGCGUAGAGAUGUGGAGGAACACCGAUGGCGAAGGCAGCCCCCUGGGCCGAUACUGACGCUCAUGCACGAAAGCGUGGGUAGCAAACAGG
RNAcentral lists this ribosomal RNA (423 nucleotides) under uncultured bacterium. Its description in RNAcentral is "partial 16S ribosomal RNA". It matches the Rfam family "Bacterial small subunit ribosomal RNA", at positions 360 to 776 of the family's 1533-position model. The record is from RNAcentral.